Molecule: ribosomal RNA, 467 nt
Filed under: uncultured bacterium
Lineage: Bacteria
Description: partial 16S ribosomal RNA
Rfam family: Bacterial small subunit ribosomal RNA
Source: RNAcentral
GACGAACGCUGGCGGCGUGCUUAACACAUGCAAGUCGAACGAUGAUCAGGAGCUUGCUCCUGUGAUUAGUGGCGAACGGGUGAGUAACACGUGAGUAACCUGCCCCUGACUCUGGGAUAAGCGUUGGAAACGACGUCUAAUACUGGAUAUGAUCACUGGCCGCAUGGUCUGGUGGUGGAAAGAUUUUUUGGUUGGGGAUGGACUCGCGGCCUAUCAGCUUGUUGGUGAGGUAAUGGCUCACCAAGGCGACGACGGGUAGCCGGCCUGAGAGGGUGACCGGCCACACUGGGACUGAGAAACGGCCCAGACUCCUACGGGAGGCAGCAGUGGGGAAUAUUGCACAAUGGGCGAAAGCCUGAUGCAGCAACGCCGCGUGAGGGAUGACGGCCUUCGGGUUGUAAACCUCUUUUAGUAGGGAAGAAGCGAAAGUGACGGUACCUGCAGAAAAAGCACCGGCUAACUACGUG